Molecule: ribosomal RNA, 301 nt
Filed under: uncultured bacterium
Lineage: Bacteria
Description: partial 16S ribosomal RNA
Rfam family: Bacterial small subunit ribosomal RNA
Source: RNAcentral
CAGCAGCCGCGGGAAUACGAAGGGUGCAAGCGUUAAUCGGAAUUACUGGGCGUAAAGCGUGCGUAGGCGGUUUGUUAAGUCUGUUGUGAAAUUCCCGGGCUCAACCUGGGAAUGGCGCUUGUGACUGCAAGGCUAGAGUGCGUCAGAGGGGGGUAGAAUUCCACGUGUAGCAGUGAAAUGCGUAGAGAUGUGGAGGAAUACCGAUGGCGAAGGCAGCCCCCUGGGACGAGACUGACGCUCAUGCACGAAAGCGUGGGGAGCAAACAGGAUUAGAUACCCCAGUAGUCCCUGUCUCUUAUAA